AACUUUUGGCAACGGAUCACUUGGUUCUGGCAUCGAUGAAGAACGCAGCGAAAUGCGAUAAGUAAUGUGAAUUGCACAAUUCAGUGAAUCAUCGAGUCUUUGAACGCACAUUGCGCCCUCUGGUAUUCCGGAGGGCAUGCCUGUCCGAGCGUCAUUGCUGCCCUCAAGCACGGCUUGUGUGUUGGGCCCCCGUCCCCCCUCCACCGGGGGGACGGGCCCGAAAGGCAGCGGCGGCACCGCGUCCGGUCCUCGAGCGUAUGGGGCUCUGUCACCCGCUCUUGUAGGCCCGGCCGGCGCCAGCCGACCCCCCUCAAUCUAUUUUUCAGGUUGACCUCGGAUCAGGUAGGGAUACCCGCUGAACUUAAGCAUAUCAAUAAGCGGAGGGU
Molecule: unclassified non-coding RNA, 386 nt
Filed under: uncultured fungus
Lineage: Eukaryota; Fungi
Description: sequence contains ITS2
Rfam family: 5.8S ribosomal RNA (bases 1-154)
Source: RNAcentral